RNAcentral lists this ribosomal RNA (465 nucleotides) under uncultured bacterium. RNAcentral's name for it is "partial 16S ribosomal RNA". It matches the Rfam family "Bacterial small subunit ribosomal RNA", at positions 28 to 507 of the family's 1533-position model. The record is from RNAcentral.
GACGAACGCUGGCGGCGUGCUUAACACAUGCAAGUCGAACGGAAAGGCCCUGCUUGCAGGGUACUCGAGUGGCGAACGGGUGAGUAACACGUGGGUUAUCUGCCCUGCACUUCGGGAUAAGCCUGGGAAACUGGGUCUAAUACCGGAUAGGAGCCAUUUUUAGUGUGAUGGUUGGAAAGUUUUUUCGGUGUAGGAUGAGCUCGCGGCCUAUCAGCUUGUUGGUGGGGUAAUGGCCUACCAAGGCGGCGACGGGUAGCCGGCCUGAGAGGGUGGACAGCCACAUUGGGACUGAGAUACGGCCCAGACUCCGACGGGAGGCAGCAGUGGGGAAUAUUGCACAAUGGGCGCAAGCCUGAUGCAGCGACGCCGCGUGGGGGAUGACGGCCUUCGGGUUGUAAACUCCUUUCGCUAGGGACGAAGCUUUUUGUGACGGUACCUAGAUAAGAAGCACCGGCUAACUACGUG